Molecule: non-coding RNA, 350 nt
Organism: Homo sapiens (human)
Lineage: Eukaryota; Metazoa; Chordata; Mammalia; Primates; Hominidae
Source: the annotation of a RefSeq genome assembly
AUGGCCUCCCUGCUCCUCUUCUGUGUGGCCUUUUGUCUCCUGGGAACAGGGUCCAUGGAUGCUGAUGUUAUCCAGACCCCAAGGAAUAGGAUCACAAAGACAGGAAAGAGGAUUAUGCUGGCAUGUUCUCAGACUAAGGGUCAUGAUGGAAUGUACUGGUAUCGACAAGACCCAGGACUGGGGCUACGGUUGAUCUAUUGCUCCUUUGAUGUCAAAAUAUAUAAACAAAAGAGAGAUCUCUGAUGGAUACAGUGUCUCUUGACAGGAACAGGCUAAAUUCUCCCUGUCCCUAGAGCCUGCCACCCCCAACCAGACAGCUUCUAGGUUACUUCAGUGCCACCAGUGAUUUC